RNAcentral lists this ribosomal RNA (792 nucleotides) under uncultured archaeon. RNAcentral's name for it is "bacterial SSU rRNA". It matches the Rfam family "Archaeal small subunit ribosomal RNA", at positions 1 to 774 of the family's 1478-position model. The record is from RNAcentral.
UUCCGGUUGAUCCCGCCGGACCCGACNGCUAUCGGAGUGGGACUAAGCCAUGCGAGUUGUACGUCCCGGGCUGGCGGGACGUGGCGUACGGCUCAGUAACACGUGGCCAACCUACCCGGCGGACGGCUAUAACCCCGGGAAACUGGGGCUAAUAGCCGAUAGGGGAUAGGCGCUGGAAGGCCCUAUCCCCGAAAAGGCUACACACCCAUGCCGUGUGUAGCCGCCGCAGGAUGGGGCUGCGCCCUAUCAGGUAGUAGGUGGGGUAACGGCCCACCUAGCCUAUAACGGGUGCGGGCCCUGGGAGGGGGAGCCCGGAGAUGGGCACUGAGACAAGGGCCCAGGCCCUACGGGGCGCAGCAGGCGCGAAACCUCCGCUAUGCGCGAAAGCGCGACGGGGCCACUCCGAGUGCCGCCCGCUGAGGGCGGCUUUUGCCCAGUCCAAAAGGCUGGGCGAAUAAGGGGAGGGCAAGAUUGGUGUCAGCCGCCGCGGUAAUACCAACUCCCCGAGUGGUCGGGACGAUUAUUGGGCUUAAAGCGUCCGUAGCCGGUCGGGUGUGUCGUCGGUUAAAUCCGACGUCUCAAGCGUCGGACUGCCGGCGAUACUACCCGGCUAGGGAGCGGGAGAAGCGGCGGUAUUCCCGGGGUAGGGGUAAAAUCCUCAGAUCCCGGGAGGACCAUCGGUGGCAAGCCGGGCCGCUUAGAACGCGUCCGACGGUGAGGACCGAAAGCUGGGGGAGCGAUCCGGAUUAAAUACCCGGGUAGUCCCAGCUGUAAACGAUGCAGGCUAGUUGU